AGCGAACGCUGGCGGCAGGCCUAACACAUGCAAGUCGAACGAACUCUUCGGAGUUAGUGGCGGACGGGUGAGUAACACGUGGGAACGUGCCUUUAGGUUCGGAAUAACUCAGGGAAACUUGUGCUAAUACCGAAUGUGCCCUUCGGGGGAAAGAUUUAUCGCCUUUAGAGCGGCCCGCGUCUGAUUAGCUAGUUGGUGAGGUAAAGGCUCACCAAGGCGACGAUCAGUAGCUGGUCUGAGAGGAUGAUCAGCCACAUUGGGACUGAGACACGGCCCAAACUCCUACGGGAGGCAGCAGUGGGGAAUCUUGCGCAAUGGGCGAAAGCCUGACGCCGCCAUGCCGCGUGAAUGAUGAAGGUCUUAGGAUUGUAAAAUUCUUUCACCGGGGACGAUAAUGACGGUACCCGGAGAAGAAGCCCCGGCUAACUUCGU
RNAcentral lists this ribosomal RNA (432 nucleotides) under uncultured bacterium. RNAcentral's name for it is "partial 16S ribosomal RNA". It matches the Rfam family "Bacterial small subunit ribosomal RNA", at positions 29 to 506 of the family's 1533-position model. The record is from RNAcentral.